Molecule: ribosomal RNA, 903 nt
Filed under: uncultured bacterium
Lineage: Bacteria
Description: bacterial SSU rRNA
Rfam family: Bacterial small subunit ribosomal RNA
Source: RNAcentral
AGAGUUUGAUCCUGGCUCAGGACGAACGCUGGCGGCGUGCCUAAUGCAUGCAAGUCGAGCGGGCUACGAUCUUCGGAUUGUAGCUUAGCGGCGAACGGGUGAGUAACACGUAGGUAAUCUACCCUUCAGAGGAGGACAACCUCAGGAAACUGAGGCUAAACCUUCAUACGUUCACUGGUAGGGAUACUGGUGAAGAAAGAGUUACCGUUGAGGUGGCUGCUGAAGGAUGAGCCUGCGGCCCAUCAGGUAGUUGGUGAGGUAACGGCUCACCAAGCCGAAGACGGGUAACCGGUCUGAGAGGAUGUCCGGUCACACUGGGACUGAGACACGGCCCAGACUCCUACGGGAGGCAGCAGCAGGGAAUCUUGGGCAAUGGGCGAAAGCCUGACCCAGCGACGCCGCGUGGAGGAAGAAGUCCUUCGGGGCGUAAACUCCUGGACUGGGGGACGAGGAAGGACGGUACCCCAGUAGAAAGGGACGGCUAACUACGUGCCAGCAGCCGCGGUAAAACGUAGGUCCCGAGCGUUGUUCGGAUUCACUGGGUGUAAAGGGCGCGUAGGUGGUUGUCUGUGUCUCAUGUGAAAACUCAGGGCUCAACUCUGAGAUUGCGUGGGAAACUAGGCAGCUAGAGGACGGUAGAGGGGAGUGGAAUUCCCGGUGUAGCGGUAAAAUGCGUAGAUAUCGGGAGGAACACCGGUGGCGAAGGCGGCUCUCUGGGCCGAUCCUGACGCUGAGGCGCGAAAGCUAGGGGAGCGAACCGGAUUAGAUACCCGGGUAGUCCUAGCCGUAAACGAUGGGUGCUAGGUGUUGGGGGGGUAAAGACCCUUCAGUGCCGAAGCCAACGCGAUAAGCAUCCCACCUGGGGAGUACGGCCGCAAGGUUGAAACUUAAAUGAAUUGACGG